Molecule: ribosomal RNA, 252 nt
Filed under: uncultured bacterium
Lineage: Bacteria
Description: partial 16S ribosomal RNA
Rfam family: Bacterial small subunit ribosomal RNA
Source: RNAcentral
UACGUAGGGUGCGAGCGUUAAUCGGAAUUACUGGGCGUAAAGUGUGCGCAGGCGGCCGCGCAAGUCGAGUGUGAAAGCCCCGGGCUUAACUUGGGAAUUGCGCUCGAAACUACGUGGCUGGAGUAUGGCAGAGGAAGGUGGAAUUCCACGUGUAGCGGUGAAAUGCGUAGAGAUGUGGAGGAACACCGAUGGCGAAGGCAGCCUUCUGGGCCAAUACUGACGCUCAUGCACGAAAGCGUGGGAGCAAACAGG